GAUGAACGCUGGCGGCGUGCCUAAUACAUGCAAGUCGAGCGAACAGAUGAGGAGCUUGCUCCUCUGACGUUAGCGGCGGACGGGUGAGUAACACGUGGAUAACCUACCUAUAAGACUGGGAUAACUUCGGGAAACCGGAGCUAAUACCGGAUAAUAUAUUGAACCGCAUGGUUCAAUAGUGAAAGACGGUUUUGCUGUCACUUAUAGAUGGAUCCGCGCCGCAUUAGCUAGUUGGUAAGGUAACGGCUUACCAAGGCAACGAUGCGUAGCCGACCUGAGAGGGUGAUCGGGCACACUGGAACUGAGACACGGUCCAGACUCCUAAGGGAGGCAACAGUAAGGAAUCUUCCGCAAUGGGCGAAAGCCUGACGGAGCAACGCCGCGUGAGUGAUGAAGGUCUUCGGAUCGUAAAACUCUGUUAUUAGGGAAGAACAAAUGUGUAAGUAACUAUGCACGUCUUGACGGUACCUAAUCAGAAAGCCACGGCUAACUACGUG
RNAcentral lists this ribosomal RNA (497 nucleotides) under uncultured bacterium. Its description in RNAcentral is "partial 16S ribosomal RNA". It matches the Rfam family "Bacterial small subunit ribosomal RNA", at positions 28 to 507 of the family's 1533-position model. The record is from RNAcentral.